This 1207-nucleotide ribosomal RNA is filed under the name Devriesia mallochii. RNAcentral's name for it is "partial 28S ribosomal RNA". It matches the Rfam family "Eukaryotic large subunit ribosomal RNA", at positions 34 to 968 of the family's 3401-position model. The record is from RNAcentral. Lineage: Eukaryota; Fungi; Ascomycota; Dothideomycetes; Mycosphaerellales; Teratosphaeriaceae.
UUAAGCAUAUCAAUAAGCGGAGGAAAAGAAACCAACAGGGAUUGCCCUAGUAACGGCGAGUGAAGCGGCAACAGCUCAAAUUUGAAAUCUGGCGUCAGCCCGAGUUGUAAUUUGUAGAGGAUGCUUCUAGGUUGCGGCCGGUCUAAGUUCCUUGGAACAGGACGUCACAGAGGGUGAGAAUCCCGUAUGUGACCGGCUUGCACCUUCCACGUAGCUCCUUCGACGAGUCGAGUUGUUUGGGAAUGCAGCUCUAAAUGGGAGGUAAAUGUCUUCUAAAGCUAAAUACCGGCCAGAGACCGAUAGCGCACAAGUAGAGUGAUCGAAAGAUGAAAAGCACUUUGGAAAGAGAGUUAAAAAGCACGUGAAAUUGUUGAAAGGGAAGCGCAUGCAACCAGACUUGUCGGCGGUGUUCCGCCGGUCUUCUGACCGGUCUACUCGCCGUCGGCAGGCCAGCAUCGUCUGGGGGCGCCGGAGAAAGGUGUCGGGAAUGUAGCUCCUCGGAGUGUUAUAGCCUGGCACACAAUACGGUGACCCCCGGGCGAGGUCCGCGCUUCGGCUAGGAUGCUGGCGUAAUGGUUGCCUGCGACCCGUCUUGAAACACGGACCAAGGAGUCGACCAUCUGUGCGAGUGUUCGGGUGUCAAACCCCUACGCGUAAUGAAAGUGAACGGAGGUGGGAACGCAAGUGCACCAUCGACCGAUCCUGAUGUCCUCGGAUGGAUUUGAGUAAGAGCAUAGCUGGUCGGACCCGAAAGAUGGUGAACUAUGCCUGAAUAGGGUGAAGCCAGAGGAAACUCUGGUGGAGGCUCGCAGCGGUUCUGACGUGCAAAUCGAUCGUCAAAUUUGGGUAUAGGGGCGAAAGACUAAUCGAACCAUAGACCUAUUCUACUAGGUGGUUGAGAAUCACGCGGGAUUUAGGGCGUGUUAACGCUCGACACCGUCAAAUUGCGGGGAGUCACUGAGGCUCACCACUGCCGCCGGCCCCGGAAACGGGUGACCGGCAGGGCCGUCCGUCACGGACGCCCCCGGGGCAGGGUGAGAUGGGAUGACCCGCAGCCAAGUCCUACGGCGCCCCCCGGGGUGUACGGACGCAGUUCACAGACUCGACGGCGGUGGGCCUUUGAACGAUCGAAGGCUUAAGAGAGAGUCGGUCCGGUCGCGAGAGCGGUCAUCUGGAACAGCGCUAGUAGCUGGUUCCUGCCGAAGUU